Non-coding RNA from Tetracentron sinense, 74 nucleotides. Lineage: Eukaryota; Viridiplantae; Streptophyta; Magnoliopsida; Trochodendrales; Trochodendraceae. The record is from the annotation of a GenBank genome assembly.
GGUGCUGUGGUGUAGUUGGUUAUCACGUCAGUCUUACACACUGAAGGUCCCCAGUUCGAACCUGGGCAGCACCA